GAGUUGGGCCAUGUUUAGUUACUCCCAACUCCCAACUUUGACACUAUGCAAAAAGAAGAUUCCCCAUCACAUCAAACUUGCGGUACAUGCAUGGAGUACUAAAUGUAGAUGAAAUUAAAAACUAAUUGCACAGUUUUGUUGUACUUUGCGAGACGAAUCUUUUGAGCCUAAUUAGUCAAUAUUUGGACAAUAAUUCACAAAUACAAACGAAACGCUACAGUGUGCUACAGUGCUGUAACAGUAAUUUGGCACCUCCCAAAUUCCCCAACUAAACACGGCCUUGGUAAACUUCUGUCGGUGGGAUCCAAAGUCAAUGCUCCCGUUCACGGAUCACGGCUCACGGAUCACGACGCGGCUGCACGCGGUCUGCGCUCCACGGCUCGCGGUCGCGGCCCCACGUACAGAACGGUCGCCGCGUUCUGCAAGAAAUCCAUCGGUGCUGUCACAAAAGGCAGCUGCGGUCUGCACUAUUGCGUCCGGAAAGCUGGGCAUGUACAACGGUAAUUAAUAUGCUGUCUAUUUUGAUGCCACAUAAGCCUGUUUUGCUGAGUUGGAUCAGAGAGAAAGAAGAGAAAGGGAAGACGUCAUCGCACGAGAUAACGACGCGCGGCCCGUGCUCCCACACCCGUCAACGGCUUUCAACCUCCGUUGUCUGAACCACCGUUGUUCCGCUCAGAUCCGAUGAGAAAUCCCCGAAAUCGACCUCCCGCUCCACCUCUUACCUCCUGCGCAAGCCUGCCGACCUUGUCAUGCCUCGCCGGUCGUCGUACCUCGCCUCACCGGCCUCGUCGUGCCUAGCCACGCCUCGCGUUGCAGGCCUGCCCCGAUGCGCCUUGGAGCGCCAGCCUGCCUCACCGUGCCGCCGCGGCUAAGCUGCGUCGUGCCGCGCGCACCUUGCUUCGCCGGCUAGAUUCACGUUGCCGGCAGUGGGUAGCGCCGUGAAGGACGAGAUGGAGAGAGAAACAAGAGAGAUUGUGGGAUCAAAACUCAACCUCACGUGAAACGGAGUUAAGGAAGGGAUAAGGAGUUAUCUCUUAACAAUAUAACAUUCUUAAAAACAAGCAACAUUGGUACACAAAUAUAAAUAUAAUCUUGAUCAACAUGAUUCAUUGUAUCAUGCAUAAAUUAAAUAAUACAUGAACAUCUUAAUAGACAAGUUACCAUAUAAGUUGUCUGUUUUACUGCCUACGUGCAAUAUCCAAGGUACUCAGACAACAACCAUCCGCACUGUUGAACGUACCCCUUGACCACGGCGGUGUAAUCAACCAACCAGCGAUGCGUCCGGUGCCCGUGGCUCCCUUUCUAGUCACCUGAAAGUGCAAGCGGGGGGCAGGUGCGAGGGGGACAAAACUACAAAAGGGAGACAGUCCACGGCGCGGGCACACCAGCCGGAUCGGAACAGAUAAGACCGACCGAGCGGAGCCGAUGUGCACUCAACUGACGGAUGGAUUUGAAAACGGAGGCAGAGCAGAGAGAGUAACCAAACCCAAGGGACGUUUUCUAUAAUCAUCCAGCUAAUACCUGGGCUGUAAACAAUUCCCUGUAGCCAGCCAGCCGCCCCGCAAGUUACCCGCACAUGGGCUGGAGUGCUGGACGGCCGUUGCGUUCUCGCUGUCCCCGACGUCACACGUAUUGCCAUUGUAUCUCGACGCCCGCCGGAUUCAGACCGUAGAGAGGUAGGUGCCGGGUUGCCAUCGCCUCGCCCCGAGUCGACACGGUCAGCCGCCGCCGCACGUCUCCACGAGCGUUCCGCGCGACACGUCCAUCGUUGCCCCGGCAGAUCACACGCGGUUCAGGCUCGCUCACCGACCCCCCGGGACACGGAAGCCACCAAGCCAUCUGCCCUCGGCCUCCGUCCGGGACGCGCCCGCACGCCACCCAACAACCCGCGGCGGGGCGGGGGGGCGAGUCGGGGAGUGGUGGGCGCGCACCACUCUACUUCUACCGCCCUGCCCGCGGCGCUGACCCAGCGCACGCACACCACAGCACACGAACACAAAAUGCAGCGGCAGCAGCAGAAUCCCCCGCCGCCGCCGCACCGGCACGCGAAGACGGACUCGGAGGUGACGUCGAGCAUGGCGCCGUCGUCGCCCCCGCGGGCAGCCUACUACGUGCAGUCGCCGAGCCACGACGACGGGGAGAACAAGACGGCCGCCUCCUCCUUCCACUCCUCGCGGCGUCCCCGCCGCGCUCCUGGGGCGGGCGUCCAGGGACUCCUCCUCCUCCCGCUUCUCCGCCAGCGCCAAGGGCCCCUCCUCCCGCGCCGCCGCCGCCGCCAACGGCUCCGGCUCCGCGCCCGACCCCCGCGCCGCCGGUGGGGGACGCGGGCGCCGCGGCGGAGGCGGCGCGCCGUGGAUGAAGGAGGCGGCCAUCGAGGAGGAGGGGCUGCUGGGGAUGGACGACGACGGCGACGACGGGUACGGCGGGUCCGGCGGCGGCGGGUGGAGCGGGAUCCCCAAGCGGGUCCGCUACGGGAUCCUCUUCGUGGGUGCAUUCUUCGGCCUCUUCUUCUUCUUCGCGCUCAUCCUCUGGGGCGCCAGCCGCAACCAGCGGCCCGUCGUCACACUGCACUCCGCCACGUUCCACCGCUUCGUCGUCCAGGCCGGCACCGACGCGUCGCUCGUCCCCACCGAGAUGGCCUCGCUCAACGCCACCGUCAAGCUCACCUUCCGCAACACCGGGACAUUCUUCGGCGUCCACGUCUCCUCCGAGCCCGUCACGCUCUACUACACGCAGCUCCAGCUGGCAUCCGGCAAUGUAAGCCACUGCUCAUCCCUCUGCCUCCUGCCGCGCAUGAUCGAUCGAUCGAGUCUCAUUUACUAAUUCGCUCAAUUUCAAGGAUGCUAGAGUAGCACGGUACAUAUGAUUUGUCAGUUUUUGAUGCUGUUAGAAUCUGAGGAACUGAACUAUGCAGUGCAGUCUCAGUAAUGGCAGUGGCGGUUUCUUAGUGCAAUGGUCUUAGUGCAGAGUCUCAGGAAACUUGUCGCUUUGAUGCCAAAUUUCAGGACAAGGUUUCUAGAUUUCUAUGCUAACCGUUAGGAUACGUUAAACAUCAAUUUUUUUUACAUAAUCUCCCAAACCAAUAGUAGUCUGCGAAUGCAUAAUGUAAAGAACAGGGCACACAUUUUUCAGUCAUUAUCUUUGCUUGUAGCAGAAUAGCAGUAGAUAUAUGAACGCUGGACUACAGCUGCACACUGACGUUGACCCGAACAACGCGCGGUAGCGGUUGCGGUCGACAGCGAACCGCUGACGGGAACACGAGAGCACAGUCACCGGCCCAUGCCGUGGAAACUCGAGAACACACAGCUCAUCCCUCGCAGUUACCCACACCAUCUCCAUCGCUAGCUGUCAUCCGGCUCACCCGGGUCGCCUUCCUGCGAUCCUGCAUGGCUGCACAUCGCAUUCCGCAUUUACGUUAAAAUUCAAUGGCGAUUCCUUUUAUUUAAUUUUUGGAAAAGAAAAAGGUUCUUUGCUUGGCGAGAUGACAAUUGACCGUGGCUGGACGCUGCAGAUCAAGUACUUCUACCAGGCGCGGAAGAGCCAGCGGAGCCUGACGGUGUCGGUGGUGGGCGACAAGGUGCCGCUGUACGGCGGCGGGUCGAGCCUGAGCAGCACGCCGACGACACUGCCGCCGCCCAAGAAGAAGAUGCCGCCGGUGGUGGUGCCGCCGCCGCCGGUGCCCCUGCAGCUGACGGUGCGGCUGCGGUCGCGCGCGUUCGUGCUGGGCAGGCUGGUCAAGCCCAAGUUCCACAGCGAGGCGCGCUGCAAGGUCACCAUGGACCAGACCAAGCUCGGCAAGCCCGUCUCCCUCAAGAAUGCCUGCACCUACAGCCACUGAUAGCUCAUUAUAGAUAUGCAUAUCCAUUGCUCGUCUGCUGUGGCUGCCGUCUCCGUCGUGGUCGUUGUUUGUUGGUUGGUGUUCUUGAACUCUCUCGGUCGAUAUACUGCGUGGCGUGGUGGAGAAUUAUAUUGGUCGAUUGCUAUGUACAGAGGAAUUUUUGAUGUGGGAGAGUUUGAGAUGGAAUAAGAAUUAAACGUUUCUUUCUUGAUGAUGCGGCGCUCGUUUGAAACUUGGAUUGGAUCAGAACAAGCUUUGUCAGUUACAUGUUUCAGAAGCCAUCUCGUCUCCAACAGAUAGAUGGCUCAAAUCAACAGCUACCGUUCACCUGAAAAUUCUCCUUAUUUCACCUCAAAUCACCGAGGUCUUGUUCUUUCAUCUGAAUCUGACGAAUGUAGCAACAAUGGUUCCCCCCUAAAAAAGAUCAUCACAAAGGAGGACCCGAUCGAGAUAAAUGAGCAGAUCCGUGUCACUGUUGCAAAGUAGGGAGUACGCACGAGAUGCAUCAGUCAACUGCAGUACCCUGUUCUAGCGAUCAGCCGAUCCUAGCGCAUUGAAUUGAAGUACUAGCAGGGUUCAGUGAAGGCGUCAAGGGAUGGAGCUCACAUGGACGCUGUCAGAUUCAGGCAGGCAGUCAGAGAUCGGAAUUCAUACUGCUAGUAGCUCUCAAUAAACAAACAGGCAUCGAAUUCAGGCGUACAGGGGAAGUAUUAUCCUGACCGCGUCCCAGCUGAAGCCGCGGACCCAACUAAUGCGAGUAGUUUACUCUGGCGGCGCACUAAACUAUGUUCGGAGAGGCGAGAUGCGUUAAUAGCUGAGCACAUUGUUGCUCUGUUAUAGAAAAAAAGGUUCAGCAGAUUGCUUGGGAUUUGGGAAAUGGCCGUGUUAAGCUUGGUCACAUUGAACUUGUUGUUUCAGUUUUUUUUUAAAUAUUCAAAAUACUUGUUGUUCUACAAAUCGUAGACAAUUAUGGUCGACGUUCUCCACUCUUACCUAUAUUUAUCAAGAGGGGUUUAAAACCCCUACCGAUUAUAUAUACAAAUUAAAAGCAAAAAAAAGAAGAAGAAAGAAUAGAGAUAUAACACAAAGCAAAGUGUACAAGAUAGGAAGAGAGAGAGAGAGAGAGAGAGAGAGAGAGAGAGAGAGAGAGAGAGAGAGAGAGAGAGAGAGAGAGAGAGAGAGAGAGGUGAGAAGGGAUAAAAUCGCACAAGGGGACUCUAGCCAGGAUCUAAUUUGAGGAAAAUAUUUCUUCUUCGCACGAAGCGUAAGCAUGUCGAAUUCAGUUUUGAAAUUUGGCCUUGCAAGUUGGGACUGUUGGUGGCGCUUGGUUGAAAAUGCAAUUGUUCCUGACUAGCCAAAUACUCCAGAGAGGAGAAUAACGAUUUCCAUAAAAAAAAGGUACUGUCAACUGAUUCUUGAAAUGGCUCGUGGGGGUCAUCAGAAUACUGAAACUUGGACAGAGAUUAGGCCCCCAACAAGCAAUAGCAAAGGGGCAUUACAGAGAAUACCCUCAUAUGAGGGCAAGUCCAUGUUACGUCUCUGUAGAAGCCCUAUGCUACUCAGGCACUCAGCCUGCCCUUCGUUAGAAGUCAGAGAAAAAAACGUUAUGUUUAAGCUGGCUACAGGAUGAUUUCCAGAGCCAUUUAAAAGAUGGCGGCAGGAUCAGUGUGCCCGGCUACAACUUUGUAUGCUUUUUUUUUUUGAAACGAAACAACUUUGUAUGAUUGCUAAGAGGAGAAAUUACAGUUGCCCCAAAUGUACUUGCAAUGUGGAACAUGGCCCCAUUAUGGCAUAAUUUGUGAUUUUAGUGAUUGAGUGAUAGCAUAAUCAUUAAGACUAAUGGUUUGUCAAGCAUGUGUCUUCUAGAUUUUCUAGGUCCCAAAUAUGUAAACUAAACCAUGCCAAGAUCGUACUCAAGCAUCCAAACCAUAGUAUUCUUGAUAGCUAAUUCAUGGUAUUCAAGCAUCCAAGCUAUGGUAUUCAAGUGACAAAGCUAUGGUAUCUAGGAUUGUUCUAUGGUAUUCAAGCAUCCAAAUGAUACAGAAAAUCCAAAGAUGUAAUCCUCGGUGUGCAAGUGGUGGUAUUCAACACAGAAAAAGGUACCAUCGGAUGUUCCGAUGGACCAUCCAAGCCAGCGUCGGAGUGAGCAUCGGAUGAAUUGGUACAACUGCAGGUGGCAACCUGAGUCAAGACCAUCGGAUGUUCUGAUGCCCCAUUUUCAAGAAGUGUCGGAUGACUUCUGAGGUAAAGAUGCGAGAAUUAGAGGAAAACUCUAGACCAUCGGAUGUUCCGAUGCUAAGUCGAGAGUAGUGUCACACGAAGCAUAUUUACUUUGGAAUCGUCCAGAGAGGUUUUGGGAGAAAACCCUUCUGCACCGAAUGAUCCGAUGGUGCCAUCGGAGGAACCAUCGGAUGAAUUUUGGAUGUGCCAGUGAAGAACUUGGGCGUGGGGAGGCCAGAUGUUCCGAUGCAUGCCAAAACAAACCAUCAGAACAUCCGAUGGUAUACUUUAACUAGCUGUUGGAGCAACGACUCUUUGAUACCUUGGGCUAUUUAUACCCCCUCCAUUCGCCCAUUUGAUGUUGCUGGAGUGUGCAGGAAUCUAUUGGAGAUCAAGACUCAUCAAGAACACAUCCAAGCCACCAAAAAUGCUUAAGUGAUAUUCUAAGGCUUAGCACAAGCUUAUGAGAGUGAUUAGUGUUAGGAUAGGCCUAGAGAAAGAGAGAUUGCAAGGUGUGCCUACCUUGCGAUCGGUUCUAGGAAUGAACCACAGUUGUACAAGGUGUGCUGGUGCCUUGGAGCUCUGGUAGCUCGCCGGCAAGUUUUCGACCCUCCGGCUUGAUGUGGAGCGGCGUCGACGACCGUGUGUGGGGGACGUGGAGUCCUCCUUCCUUAGUGGAGAAGCUCCUUAGUGGAGAUGGCAUCAAGAUGACCGGGGAACUUGGCGUGAGCCUUAGUGGCCAAGCCUUUGUGACAAGUCAAGGGCCGUCCUGGGAGAGACUUAGUGAUCGGGAAGCAAUACUCUUAUGUGAGUGCUUCAACAACGUGAACUAGUGGUGGCUUAGUGCUUACUGAUACCAUGGGAUAAAUCAUCGUGUGAAGAGUUUGCUUCCCCUCAUUUCUUCCUUUACAUUUCCGCAUUUCAUACUUCCAACUUGUGUGCAUUUACUUUCUUAGUGUAAUAUCUUGCUAGGAUUGACUUUAGGUUGCAAAACUUAUUUUGGAUGAGGGUUUCACAUUAGAUUAACCAUUGUUGCAUGUCUUGAUAGCACGAUCUAAUUUAAGUUUGAUGAAAAAUAGUGGAAACUAUAGAUUGUCCCUCCCUCUCUCCUACGACACGAGCACAAUGUUUACACGAUUCCUCUGAAAAUACUAGGCUCUCAAGCUUAAACUGCAAGAGCUGAAACUGAUCAUAGGCAUGCGGGGACAGUUGGAGGUUACUAUCAAGGCCAACAACCCUUUGGACUUAUGUUCAUUUUUUUUUAAGGAAAAGAGAUCUGGGAAGGCCUGCUGUGGCCUAUCUAUAUUUUAAUUGCACCAUUAAAUAACUUCCUUCUGGCCUAAACUACUACACUCGCCUGACAUUGGUGAAGUCUGUGCUCACGUCUCAAGCGGUCUACUUCCUAACUUUAUAUGCGGGCUCCAAAAGCGGCCAUGAAAUAGAUCGAUGGGAAGCGAAAGCAGUUUGGGCUGGAACUGGAUCUUUGACGGGAGGGAAGUGCAAGGUCAACUGGCCUCGUUCCGCUGGGCCAACUAAAUCAGGAGGCCUAGGUAUUCUUCACUUCGGCAGAUUUGCAAGAGCUCUAAGGUUACAAUGGCUUUUGCAUGAAUGGUCCGAUGAACAAAAAAUGUGGAUUGGAUCGGAAACCCCAUGCAACUCAACUGAUAGAAAGCUCUUUGCAGCCGCAACCUCACUUCAAUAAGGCGACGGGAAGAAGGCGAUAUUCUGGCAUAGUGCCUGGCUACAAGGCCGACGGCCUUGUGACAUUGCACCUAAUCUCUUCACAAUUUCAAAAAGAAAGAACAGAAGUGUAGAAGCGGCAUUGUGCAACAAUAGAUGGCUUAAAGAUUUGAACCUGCAACACGCUGGGUUCUUGCCUCAGCAUUUUGUCGAGUUUGUUCAGCUAUGGCAAGCCAUCAGACACAUACAUCUACAACCGCGAACUUCAGAUACGAUUACUUGAAAGCUAACAAAAGAUGGCAAGUAUACCACAGGUUCAGCUUACAGAGCCCAGUUCCUAGGAUCGAUGGACACUAAUUUCCACUCCCUGAUUUGGAAAAUAUGGGCACCCCAAAAUGCAAGUUCUUUGGCUGGUUGGCUCUGCAGAAUCGACUCUGGACUUGUGACCGAAUGGAAGCUCGAGGCUGGGACAAUAAUGGCUGUUGCCCGCUUUGUCGUCAUGAUCCAGAGAUCGCAAUCCACCAAUUUAUAAAGUGCCAUUUAUAGAAUGCAGAUUCACAACAAGAAUUUGGUAGGCCUUAGCAACUUGGACAGCCACCGACAGCCUGCUGCCCAGUUCUUAGCCUGUCAGCAACUCAGUCCACCAAUGGUGGGCAACCAUGGCCGCACGAGGCGUCUUCAAAGGAGACGUGAGUUAAGAUACAUGAGACGCGUUUUUUUCCGUGUCUUCAAAUUUUCAUCUCUGAUGACAAGUUAUUGGAGACACGGAUUUGGCAAAUUCGCGUCUCCUAUGGUAGAGUCAUCAGAGACGCAAAUUUGGUAACCCACGUCUCCAAUAACCCUCAUAGGAGAUGCGGAUUUGGUAACUCACGUCUCCAAUGACCAAUGACAGAGUCAUUGGAGACGUGUUUUGUCAACCCACGUCUCCAAUGACAAAUUAAAAAAAUAAAAAAAAGGAAAAAGAGGACAAAUACACAUUUUAUUCAUCAUAUACAUUACAAAUACAUCACACAAAUCUUAUUUCAUGAGGUGAAAUAUAUAACUAUGUUCUCAUGGGAACCUCGAAUGACAUGCUAUAGAUGUUACAAGCCUCCUGAAAGAAAUAACAAAUUAUGUUCUCAUGGAACUUGGUAAAUAGCAAGAAAACGAAAUACAACCAAUUAUCAAAGAUUCAGACUUCCAGUCGUAGAGAAAGAUCAGUGGACUCGCAUGAUGGGAUAAGUAUGGGUGGGGAGNNNNNNNNNNNNNNNNNNNNNNNNNNNNNNNNNNNNNNNNNNNNNNNNNNNNNNNNNNNNNNNNNNNNNNNNNNNNNNNNNNNNNNNNNNNNNNNNNNNNUUGUUAUACUCAAAUUAGGUUGAUGUAUAUGCUUGCAUUCUUAUAUGAGUGAGAUAUUGAUGGCUUCAGAGCCCUGUGAUAGAUUCAGCUGCUCUUGUAUUCUUGCAGAUGCUCAUACAUCAUGCGUCCCCCCACGAUCCGCUAUGUCUAGCUCCGCAUCCUCACCGACCCCGCCUUCGCGCUCCACCCAACUGCCCCCUGCUCGGCUUCCUCCACAACCAGAGCAUGCUCCAUCUCGCCCGCGCCGUCCCCGCCCAAUCACCUCCUUUUUCCUAAGAAGCACAUGGCUAUACAAGGAUGAGGCAUCAAAGAAGAGGGCGCGGCCGUGGCGGUAGUCGUGCACGUGGCGCAUGCGAUGGUCGGCGGCGGGGGAUGGGCGGAAGGAGGAUGUGGUGGUGGGGACGAAGCGGGCGACAUGGAGCAUGCUCUGGUUGUGGAGGAAGCCGAGCAGGGGGCAGUCGGGUGGAGCGCGAAGGCGGGGUCGGCGAGGAUGCGGAGCCAGACCUUGCAGAUCGUGGAGGCCCGCACGAUGCCCGCGGGGUCGUCCGGCAGGAGGCGGAGGAGGAUGACGUCAAGGAUGGUGAUGGGUGGCGGCACACUCGACAUUGUGGUAAUGCCCUCGGAAUCGAAGAGAAGUGUUCGCCUUUGCAUCUAUAUAUAUAGAGUAUAGAGACCUCCUUCUACCAGGUGUGUUCUUCCUCCUCCUCCUGUAUCACCGCGAAACCCUAUCACAGAUCGAUAGCUGCCUAAUGUCGAUGCUUCCUUCCAUCCAAGCGAGUUCAUCUUCCAUGUCAACACAUGAAUUUGAUCUUUAUUUAAUAAUUUGUCUGUGUGUUCAUUGGAAAGUUCCUCGUAUUCUAAAAUAUUCUCUACACGUAUUCUGAACUGCAUGCAGGCUUUCCUUUUAUUCUGCCAAAAUUGCUUGGUAGCUUGAAUUAUUUGAGGGCCAGUUUGGCAGGGCUCUGACUCCUUCUAAAACAGCUCUGGCUCUAGCUCCUCUGGUGGAGCGGCUUCUUGGGUAGAGUUGAAACCAUUUUAAAAACCGUUUGGCAAAACGACUUCUUUCUUUUUUUAAUGAAUGCAUUAAAGAUGUCAAUUGUCCAAUAUGCCCCUCACUAUCUAACUUUGUUGUACAAAUGAAUUUCGUAGUCUCAUUUAGAUAUAAGAUAAUUUCAUAUGAAAUAAAAAACAAAUACUAAUUAUAAUUAUAGAUUAAACAAAUAAUUUCUCUUUUCCUUUUUUCUCUCUCUUCUUUUUUUCCUCCCUUCUAUUCUCUUACCGUUAAGGACCUUACGUCCUUAUCCUUUCUCCAGCUCAGUGAUGCUCUGCCUCCCACCGCCUACUUCCUUCGUUCCUUGCCGUGCGCUACUUCUGGCUUGCUGCCUCUUCGUCGCCGCUGCGCAGGCGCUCAUUUUGCUCCGCAGCUGCUGCCCGACACGCGCCGUGCCGCAUCUCUGCCGGACCACACGGAGCAUAGGUGGGGCUAUCGACGGCACACCCUUUGCUCCCGCGCGGUCGCGCUCUGCCCCGACGUGCCGCUUCCCCACCACCGUGCUUUGAGCCCGGCAUGCUGCUCCCUUGCAGCACGUUCCGGCCAGCCCCAGCACGCCACUCCCUGAUGCCGCGCGUGCUUCCUCGGUGAGUGGCAUUUUUGUCGUAGUGUCUGCAGAUUUGGGGGUAAUUGCAUACUUUUGCAUGUGGGGAUGGAGGAGCCGUCACCGGAGCUAUUUUUUUUUUGCUCCGUGGGCGUAGUAAAAAAACAGCUCCGGCUCCAGGUGGGCUUCGUCCUCGAAGCAGUUUUGCAAAUGGCCGUUUGGUAGGGCUCCCGGUGAAGCCGGCAGUGGAGCUGUUUUGGGAGCCCUACCAAAGGGGGCCUUAGUCAUCAUGUAUUACACAACCUGGCCUGUGGUACGGACCGUGCAAAGUAUUAUGAACGUAAUUUGAUAUACUAUGCCAUGAUGAGAUUGUCGAUAGACACGCCAACUCUGUUAGGUUUAGAUUUUCACGGUUGUGCUGCAGCUGUAGCUGCGGCAGCCAACCACACAGCCACAGCCAAAUAGUAGCACCGGCACUAAGGGGGUGUUUGGGAGGGGGGUAAACCCAUUUUAGUCAGAUUUUAGCCCUUCUCAUCCAAACACCUAGGCUAAAAUGAAGAGGCUAAAUUUUAGUCCCCCAUAAUCCAUUAGCCCCUCCAACGGUGCUAAAAUGGACUGAAGGGGCUAAAAGUGGUCCCCUUGUCCAAAAUUCCUCCCCUUGCCCCUCUCUCUCCUCCCUCUCACUCCUCCCCGCCAGAUCCUGCCGCACAGCACCCUACCGCCUCCGCCUCGCCGCCACCCGACCCGCCGCCUCCGCACCCCUCUCUCGGCGCCACCGGGCUUGUCAUCCCCGUCGGCGAGGGAGACGAGGAGGACGGUGGCGGUCGUUCGGAUCCGGGGCGGCCGGCCGGAUCCUCACUCCCCAUCCUCGCCGCCGCUGCCGGAUCCGCACCCCGCCUCCGGUCGGCCCCGCCACCUGCGAGGCCGGGACCGCUCACCACCGCCGCUGCUACCUUCGCCCGGCCGCUAGAGCGCCCAAGCUACCGGAGCCGGAGCUUGAUCCGCCGCGUGCCCAAGCCACAGGUGGAAGACGACGCGAGCUGCACGUAGGACGGGACCGGCAGGAUCGGUAGAGGCGGCGGCGUCGCGGCCGCGGAGGCAGUGGCGCCAUGGCGCAGAGGAGGAGUAGGUGGGCGAGCAGCACAGGAAGAAGUGUUGCAAUCUUCUGUCAUGGAAUUGGCUUGGAAGGAAGAAAAAAAUCUUAUCCUUGCACUGCCGCAGGAAGACGUAGAAGAGGGGUAGAGGAGAGAAGAGAAAGCAGGGGUAAAUAGGUCUUUUGUCAACAUAUGUGCUAAAGUUUAGCCUCCCACCCAAACAUCCCAAAAGGCUAAAGUUUAGCACCCUAUUUGAGGGGGCUAAACUUUAGCCCCUCCUCCCAAACAGGACCUAAGGGGUNNNNNNNNNNNNNNNNNNNNNNNNNNNNNNNNNNNNNNNNNNNNNNNNNNNNNNNNNNNNNNNNNNNNNNNNNNNNNNNNNNNNNNNNNNNNNNNNNNNNUAUCACUUAAGCAUUUUUGGUGAGUUUGAUGUGUUCUUGAUGAGUUCUUGAUCUGCAAUAUUAUUCGUCCACGCUCCAGCAACAUCAAAUGGGCGAAUGGAGGAGGGUAUAAAUACCCCUCAGUAUCAUAGAGUCGUUGCUCCAACAGGGUAGUUAAAGUAUCCCAGUGGAUGAUAUGAGGGUUUGCUUUGGCAUGCAUAGGAACAUCUGGCCUCACUACGCCCAAGUUCUUCAGCUGGCAAUCCAAAAUUCAUCCUCAUGGUUCCUCCGAUGGCACCAUCGGAUCAUUCGGAGCAGAAGGGUUUUCUCCCAAAACCUCUCAUGAGGAUUUCAAAGUAAAUAUGGUUUUUGUGCCAAUACUCUCGACUUAACAUCGGAACAUAUAAUGGUCUAGAGUUUUCCUUUAAUUCUUGCAUCUUUACCUCAGAAGUCUUCAGACACUUCCUGAAAAUGGUCCAUCUGUGCAAUUAGUUUUGUAAUUAGCUCAUAUUUAAUCCUCUUAAUUAACAUUCGAACAUCCGAUGUGACCUGCUAAAGUUUAGCACCUCCUAUCCAAACACCACUUAAAUUGGAUGGAAACAACAAUAUUCGUAGGUGUUUUGGGCCAGCAGCCGAUCGGCGAGCAAACCCGCGGCAGCCUGUUCGGACGGUGGAUGCUGCCCGCUGUCUGCUGCUGCUGCCGCUGCAGCUGCGCCGCUCUCUGCCGAGCAGCAGUUUUUUUUAUAUAUAUACGUGAAUGACCGUAUCUGAUCUGAAUGUUCUGAAUGUUGACCGAUGGUUUCUUCUUGUUUGAAUUAUUAGUAUAUGAGAUAAAAGAAGAUCCAAGCUUUCCAAAUUCCAAGUAAAAUAUUGUUAUCUCUUCACGCAUUUUCCUCACGCCUAACAUGCUUUUGGUGUGGUCAUGUGGGGUGGAUGCUAGUGUUCCUUCAAUGUAAUGUAACACCACAAGUGCUCUGUAAGCAUCCACGAUAAGGUUCCGAUGCAAUUUAGAUCAGAAGCAGCAGCAGCUUGUCAGUUACUCUUAGGUUGUUUAAUUCAGAAGCUGCCUGGCCUCCAACAGAUAGAUGGCUCAAAUCAACAAAAAUAUUUUUCCAAUUCUGCACGCAUUAAUUUUGUAUAACUUAACUUAAUUGAUCUAUUAUUACUGCGUACCAUUAUCCUUUUAUUAUUUCUUUCCUAACAUGAUUCCUGUGUUAUGGAUCCAUGGAGAGUUAGAGGAGGCCAAAUACUUCAUGAAAAUCAUUUUAAUUUGCACAUGCAACAAGUUAAUUAAUACUCCAUCGUUCCAAAAUGUAGGUUGUUUUGGCUUUUCUAAAUAUAUUGGCUUUUCUAAACUAUAUUUAGAAAAGCCAAAACGAUCUAUAAUUUGGAACGGAGGGAGUAUGUAGUACUAUCCUUUACUACGUGUGUGCUAAUAACUAAUAUGAUUCACGUGUAGUGAUUCCUGCACUCUAAACGCCUCUUCCAAUUUAUUCUUUGUGCUUUCCAAACCGUUAUUUUGCCUCUACCUUAGAUACAAUGGUUAUGAAAAUCUUCCCACAGCGUGGAUGCCUGUUUAUACUAAUAGAAUUUGUGCGUAGUGAUCCUUUUCUGCUGUUUUCAGGAAAAAAAAUCCUGUUGUUUGGUAUGUCUAUUUACAUGACUUGCUAAAAGUAUAAUAAUGAAUGUUUGUGUGCAUGCAUUAUGCAGAAGACAGAAUAAAAUUUCCUCCUCUCUUAAACAAAUAUGAGAAGAGUAUGCUGCACAUUUUAUAGUUCUCAUCACAUCGAGAUAGUACAGUUUGGUGGUCGUUAUGUUAGUUAAGAUGAGCCCAAACGAGAGACACCAAGCUUGGGCUGAGCCGAUCACAUCCUUCCCUUUUUCUCGUCUCUCUUUCAAAUAUUUUAAUAUUUUUAUUUUAAGGUUUCUUUGUCCAGACAAACCUGAAAGUGGAAUGCGACUCAAUUAGGCCCAGUUUGAUGCAGCGUCAUGGGCUCUGGCUUCUCCUGGCAUUUCACUGUAGCAUUACUGUAGCACGGAACCUCUUUUCUCUCUUCUCUCUCCCUCUCAUAUCCAGUGGAGGAGCUCCGGUGCCCGGCCAAACAAGACCUUAUACAUCAAACUUUGUUCUAGACCACACAUCAAAUUAACUUUGUUUAGAGCACAUACACAUCAACCGUAUAGUUUGAUAAGAUAUUUGCUUAGCUUUAGAUAAGGUCCUUAACAAAUUAAAGUAACCUAUCAUCCCUCCUUUUUUUUUCUCCUCCUCGGCAUUCUUGUCUCCACAACAAGCAAAAGCCGCACGCCUCCCGCACCAACCGCUUGAAGAGUAAUCGACCUCAACAAAGCACCACCACCAUCAUCGGUCACCUUUGCAUCAUGCUGCCGGCCUCAUCUCGCUUCAUAAUCACACCAAUCAUCAGUAAUCGCCGUCCAAAAAGGCAUUUGCUAGGACAAUGCCACCUUGCUACCCUCUGCAACCACUGCUAUUAUACUGUCCAGUACCAAUCUCUUACUUUUUUUCCUUGUACUUGUGCCCAGUUGAAUUUGUGGAGUUUGAAAUUACGAGUGUUAUACGCCAUGUGUGCAAUGAGUUUGCGAGAAGCAAAGUUUUUGGAGUGGGAUGGGGUGGCAGAGGUUUUCAGAUGGAGUACUCAACUGAACUGUAUUAUGGAAGUAUGGAACGGAGUACUCAAAGCCUCGGAGUUUCAGAUAGAAUAAUGCUUGGUUUGGAGCCUGCCACAAGCAAGUUCGACGAAGCCACACCACGUCCAUUUGCUCUCUCCAUGAUGGAAACCUGAUGAUUUGAAGCAAUGCCGGACUGCAGCCUGACAAGGAGUUUCAGAUCACUUUCAGUUAGCAUUGCCAUCAGGAAUUAGAAUCCGUUACGCCAAAAACUCAGAAUUGGAUAGGCGCAUGCAACUGUGCCGCACUGUUCCACCUGAACAUUUUGUCCUUCCUCAAAAGUUUCAUCAGCAAAUAUAAUACUAAUUGAUCCGAAUCUCGCAGCAAGCAAGAUCGACGACGCCACACCACAGCUUCUCGCUGAAAACCUGAGGAUUUUCUCAACGCCGCCCUGCAGACCGAGUCACUGACAGGGAGUCGAUGCUAUUACCAUCGCCGUCAGAAAUUAGAGUCUGGUACGCUAAAAAUAGAAUUCAAUGAACAAUGCGACCCCGGGAAUAAGAACCCGUUACGCGAAAUUCAGAAUUGAAUGAAGAACGAUGCAACCGUGGUGAAGCACUCCUCCACCCUCAACGGUUUCAGUCACUCUCCAAUCUCAGGCCUCCAGUGAUCCAGUCAACCGGAUUGCUCCGCGCCGCCACUGAAGGCGGCGGCGGCGAAGUAGAAGGCCGCCGGCCGUAAAGGAGCGCAUGAAUGGGGAAGGCAGCUGGCAGCACACACGACGACGACCGCCGGCUAGAAAGUCUGAUGAGUGCAGGGAGCACCCACGAACACAACCCUGCAUUGUUUCUAUGCUCUGCUGUCCUGCAUCGAUCAGCUCCAUUUUCAUGCGACCGUAUCAGCACAUCCAUUCACAGAUAACAAAUCCAUCUCCAAAUCACGGUCCCCUUUUCCCCUUAAUUUUUGCAAUCCCUACAGCACUAGUGCCAAGUGGCGCUGAUAGUACUGCACUACUGCAUAACGAACUGAUUGACGCGUAAACAAGGUGUCAUGGAAUUAGCUCUGUAAAGGCGCGAGGAUUAGAGAGGACAGUAAUCAGAUCAGAUCAGCUCGUGCGCCCGGGUGCUAAUGAAACAAGAGCCGCUGUCGUGGGAGGAAAGCAAGCCUUAGGCUGGUGACAUGGACGCGCACCGAACGCCCCGAUGAUACAUGCUUUCGCGCCAAGCUAAUGGCACUAUGCAAUGAUUGCAACGUCGACGAACAUGCAGGCCACCCCCGUCAUCGGCGAUCACAGACAGGCCGAGCUUGCUUUGGUGAUCUUCCAAAGAUUCUUCUUGGGGUUCUUUUUCUUUGACAGUUGAUUAGUUCCAUACAAGGCCAAGCCGCCAUGGAAUCCAUUAUGUAUAUAAUGCAUCUGGUAGGGCGGCACCACUGCGCCGGCGACGACGCGACGACUGCGAGUGCUCUCCAGUCGUGGCGUCCACUCACUCACUCUCACUCAGCUCAGCUCUCGCCACUCCGCCGCUCAUGCAUAAGAAGCGGCAGUUCUGAGCUCAAGUGAGUCAGCUCAGCUCAGCUCAGUUCAUCCAUCCACUCGCUCGCAGUCUGUCUGCGCUGCGGCGUCUGACGCGAUGAUGUUCCGGGCCGUGCUGUCCGGGGCGAUCAGCCUCUUGCUGCUUGCAGCGGCGGCGGUGGCCGGCGGCGAACGGAGGUCGUACAUCGUCCAGAUGGACGUGGAGAAGAUGCCGGCGCCGUUUGUGGAGCACGAGGGGUGGUACCUCUCCGUGCUGUCGUCGCUGGCGUCCGCGACGACGACGGCGGCGGGGGAGAGCGCGCCGCCGCCGGUGCACCUGUACACCUACACCCACGUCAUGCACGGGUUCAGCGCCGCGCUCACCACGGCGCAGCUGGAGGCGCUCAAGGCGGUCGACGGCCACGUGGCGGCGUUCCCGGAGACGUACGGCCGCCUCCACACCACGCGCACGCCGGAGUUCCUCGGCCUCAGCGCCGGCGCCGGCCUGUGGCCGGCGUCCAAGUACGGCGACGACGUGAUCAUCGGGAUCGUGGACACGGGCGUCUGGCCGGAGAGCGAGAGCUUCAGCGACGCCGGCAUCAAGAAGCCCGUGCCGGCGAGGUGGAAGGGCGCGUGCGAGGCCGGUCAGAAGUUCAACGCCUCCGCGUGCAACCGGAAGCUCAUCGGCGCGCGGUCCUUCAGCAAGGGCCUCAAGCAGAGCGGCCUCGGCAUCUCGCCCGACGACUACGACUCGCCGCGGGACUACUACGGCCACGGCUCGCACACGUCGUCCACGGCCGCCGGCGCCGCCGUCGGGGGCGCCAGCUACUUCGGCUACGCCAACGGCACGGCCACCGGCGUCGCCCCAGUGGCCAGGGUCGCCAUGUACAAGGCCGUGUUCUCGGCCGACACGCUGGAGUCCGCGUCCACCGACGUGCUCGCCGCCAUGGACCGCGCCGUCGCCGACGGCGUCGACGUCAUGUCGCUGUCCCUGGGCUUUCCCGAGACGUCCUACGACACCAACGUGAUCGCCAUCGGGGCCUUCGCCGCCAUGCAGAAGGGCGUCUUCGUGGCGUGCUCCGCCGGGAACGACGGCUCGGACGGGUACACCAUCAUGAACGGCGCUCCGUGGAUCGCCACCGUCGGCGCCUCGAGCAUCGACCGGGACUUCACCGCCACCGUCACGCUCGGCAGCGGCGCGACCAUCCAUGGCAAGUCGGUGUACCCUCAGGUCAGCCCGGCGAUCGCCGGCGGGAACCUCUACUACGGCCACGGCAACAGGAGCAAGCAGAGGUGCGAGUACUCCAGCCUCAGCCGUAAGGACGUGCGCGGCAAGUACGUCCUCUGCACCGCCGCCGGCGACGUGAGCAUCGGGCAGCAGAUGGACGAGGUCCAGAGCAACGGCGCCCGCGGCGCCAUCAUCGCCGGCGACACGAAGGAGUUCCUCCAGCCGUCGGAGUACACCAUGCCGGUGGUGCUGGUGACCGCGUCGGACGGCGCCGCCAUCGCCAAGUACAUGACGGCGGCGUAUGGGGGCCGCAGAGGGGCGCGGGCGCCCACGGCGAGUCUCCGGUUCGGCGGCACGGCGCUCGGCGUCAAACCGGCGCCGGCCGUGUCCUACUUCUCGGCCCGCGGGCCGGGCCAGAUCAGCCCGACGAUCCUGAAGCCCGACGUGGUCGGGCCCGGGGUGGACAUCCUCGCGGCCUGGGUGCCCAACAAGGAGAUCAUGGAGAAGGUCUUCACCAAGUACGCGCUCGUCUCCGGCACGUCAAUGUCGUCGCCGCACGUCGCCGGCGUGGCCGCUCUUCUGCGGGCGGCGCACCCCGACUGGAGCCCGGCGGCGAUCCGGUCGGCGAUGAUGACUACGGCCUACGUGAAGGACAACGCCGGCAACGUCAUCGUCAGCAUGCCGAGCGGGUCGCCGGGGACGCCGCUGGACUUCGGCGGCGGCCACGUCAGCCCCAACGAUGCCAUGGACCCGGGGCUCGUGUACGACGCGGCGGCCGACGACUACGUCAGCUUCCUGUGCGGCCUUCGCUACAGCAGCCGUCAGAUAUCGACGAUCACCGGCCGGCGAAACCCCAGCUGCGCCGGAGCAAGCCUCGACCUCAACUACCCGUCCUUCAUGGUGAUCCUCAACAGGACCAACUCGGCCACCCGGACGUUCAAGAGGGUGCUGACCAACGUCGCGGCAUCACCGGCGAAGUACAGCGUGUCGAUGACUGCGCCGGCGGGGAUGAAGGUGACGGUGUCGCCGACGGCGCUGUCCUUCGGUGGCAAAGGCAGCAAGCAGACGUUCACGGUCACGGUGCAGGUCAGCCAGGUGAAAAGGAGCUCAGAUGAGUACAACUACAUUGGGAACUACGGGUUCUUGAGCUGGAAUGAAGUUGGAGGCAAGCAUGUUGUCAGGAGCCCUAUAGUCUCAGCAUUUGCCCAGUGAGGAAGACAUAACAGGAGCAAAAAUAAAAUUAUGGCCGUAGAAAACAUACUAUAUUUGUAAUUAAUCCUGAUCAGGCACAGUAAGAAAUAUAGUCUGAAGAAAGGGGGGAAAGCCUCACCAGAUACUAAAUUACUACAGUUGACAAGUGUAUUUAUAAUUUAUAUCUGAUGAUCAAAUUAUAGAUUUCUCGAUUGUUUUUUUCUUCAGUAUAUCAGACUCUGCUGCAAAUGAACUGCAACCAUAUCCUGUAUUGCUCCAAAAGCAGCACACAAAUGCAAAAUGGUUGGAACUGAAAGGCACUUGCACCACAUCUUUGCCAAACUCAGAAUCAGAUGGGUGCUCUGUUCACCAUCAUCAAGAACAGAACGAACAUCAAUUUACUACAGAUAAAUUGCAAAAGAUAUACUAAAGACACGAUGGUCCAUGUUAAUAAGUUUCAUACAAUGAGUUGGAUCCAGGUACAUCUCCACCUUCACUCCUACGAUUUGUACCUACGGGCAUUGAUAGAUCAUAUACAAGAUAAAGCAAAGACAACUUCCAAGCUCCAAACGUAGCAUUGUUGCGAGAAGAUAGUUCACAAAAAUUGAUCAACAAGCAAACCCCAGUAUCUCCACAGCCAAUUGGAUCUGUAAAAUGGGGAUACUAGUAACACUAUCAACAAUAAUCCAAUUGGAUACUAUUAAACACAGAGGAAUUCAAUCUCCAAAGCAUCCAAAAAUAUAGUGUCCUUGGCUCCACAGAAAACUUGCUGCGCAGCAUAAAAAUCUUGAAAACCCAUGGCCAUCUUGCUGAUACCAGAUCACUGCAGGUCUGCAGUACUCAGACACCAUUCCUACAACUAGUCCAAAAUCCUAAUCAUCCUAAACUUCUACCUUAGGCUUAAGGUCACUGUCAGCAGAACAAGACCUGCAAAUGAUUAUCCAUAUCACAUCAAAGUCAUUUGCCACCCACAGUUAGGUACUCUCCAUGCUGUUGUUGACCAUGUUAACAUGGGAGGAGAUGUAUGCGAAAACUAAAGCCGAUCAAGCUAGAUGAGUUAUCUGAGUGGCCUGACUGCUAGCUGUGUGGCUUUGGAGCUCCAGUGCCUUGUAGCACAGGUGCAUCUCUUGUACUGGCAAGGCAGAGGGGCCAGUACAAGUCUGAGAUGAUACCAGGAGGUAAUGCCUCACAAGUACCCAAAGGAUAAUGAAGUUUUCUAAAGAGACUUAAACACCAGUUCCAGUACAUCUGAUGAUGACAAUGACAAUGCACCCAGGUACUACGACGGUCAUCAAUCACACAUUUCAUGGUUUCAACUGAUCCUGCCAUUACGGUGGGCUGUUUCAACUGUUAUUGGAUUCGCCGUUAGCCAUAUCAUAAAAUGUUCUUGCACUAACUAUAGUCUCAGCAUAUCCUUUUUCAUCAGCAGUCGCAAAAUUACUUUCAUGGUUACUGCAAUGGAUCAGGUAAUGCCUGGUACCAUCCACUUUAGUAUCGAAUGUUUAUCAGGGUCUCCGGUCUCCGACAGUCUGAUACCACAGGAUGUCCUACCCAUGGUGAAGGUGAACUGUGUCAGCUGGUGUGGCUCCCAAGGGUACACCAUCAUAGAUGUCCCAGACCAAAUGGUGUUCCAAUUGACAUCUAUCACCAAAAUUAAUCUCAUGUCAAUUGCAGAUAAGUCGUCCAAUAAUUUUCUGAUGAUGGCAUGACAGAAGCAGAUAAAUUCCAGUAGCAACCAUGAAGUGGUCAACUAGUCAUCGUGGCAGAUGGUUCGAAAGUACUCGAGGAACCAAGUGAUUUCCUCAUGUUAAGGUUGUAUAUCAGGCUCUUAAAUGAUGGAGACACCAAGAAUUACAUAGCUGCAAGCCUGCAACAAGAGCACCAAGUUCCAUAUUCAUUUCAUCAUGUUGAAUUGGGGUUGAAACAAACACUAUGAGAUGGGUUUCUGCUGAGAGAAUUGAAUGCUGAACAAGAAUGCAUGGAGAUCAAUGACACCAAGCUGAUCAUCCAGUACAUACCCGUUCUAUCAUCGCCACAUAAUCAUUACAAACCUGCUUUGCUGCAUGGCAUGCAUGAAGGACGGGGCAGUAACCAUCCAGUCUGCCAUGACAACAUCAUACUUGGUCAAAGUAAUGAUAAUAGCAUAAUUUGGUCAAUAAAUCCACUAAGUAGAGUAGGCACAAUUCUGCAGUGUUUAGGUCAUAGCCGUGUCAUGUUAACCCUUCAAUUUAAACUUUAUAAAAAUAUAAAUUAUGCACCUGAUCCGUGCUUCUUGACUAGAGUUCUUCUGUUUUGUGCCUCCAUAAAUCUUUCCUGGGGCAGUAAUAACAAAGAUACCCCACACCAGCUCUGCCGGUGCCCAAUCUUGAUGUACAUUAUAUCAUUCUUUAUAAGAUCAAACAAUUCUGCAAUACUCAAUGGGAUAUUAGGAAAAAUAAUGUAAUCUACAUCCAAUUAAAAUAUUCACAUGGGCAUCCUAACUGGGGCUACCGGGUUAAGGAAACAGUGUUCAGAAAUACAGAGGUAAUGAGAAAAAUUAGCUUUGCACGUCUGGGUCUUUAAGUAAUACAAUAGGCAGAUCUCCGGCCGGCUAUCUUCAAAAAGAAAAGAGGAAGCUUUGCCCAUCUGGGCCUUAAGUAAUACAAUAGGCAGAUCUCCUGCUGGCUGGGUUCAAAAAGAAAAAAAAAGGGGACCAUGGCAAGGGGAUUAGCAAUAAUGUAUGUAUCAUAUAUUCUCAAAAAAAAAGUUAUCAUAUAUGACCUUAGCACAAGUAGAAGAUAUAUAUGUUUCGAACAGCAUAAAUUCUCUCAGGAUUCAAGUUAUGUUCUUGCUACAGGUAAGUUCAUUUCCAUAAUACUGUUAUUCUUCCAUAAUAUAUAUGGUCUAUCCAUAUAUAGAUGUGACAACCUAGAAGGGAACAAAAAAACCUGUCCAACAAGAACCACGAUUCAGCCAGCUGAUUAUAUACGCAUCCAACAUCGAACAGAAUAAAUGAAGAUGGUGGCUAAAACGUGUUGGUGGAACAUACCUUGAAGAGAUAGCUGAGAAAAUUAGCUUGUUGUUGGUGUAAAUAAGUAGCAACACUAGUACUCACAGUCACAUGGUGCUGUUGUGCUGGCACCUUUUGAGAAGAAAAUCAACUGAUUAGCUGAUGUAGUGUAUAUAGGUGUGAUAAGAGGUGUUAAGUUUUGUGUGAAUAAGGAUUGUGAAAACUAAGCACCUGCAGGAUUUGUACUAUCAACUGAAAGCAUGAAGGAUGAAACAGAUAAAAUUAGAUGAUAGACACCACAAGAAAAUUAAGAAAUAUCUAGAUGUUACUUCAUUUAACAAGGUGCUGAGGGCCUCAAAUAUGCUGCCCUGUAACACAUUACAUCCUUUGAAAUACAAAAAAUUAGCACUCUUCCUUUCGAAAUACAUCUAUAUUUACACUUGCUAUUGCAUAGCAAAAGGACCACCCAGAGUCUCAUACUUCUAGGUAAGAUACUCAUGUUGUAAACUCCAACUUUACCUUAAGUUCUCUCUGCACUAUCUAGUAGCCAAACAAAGUAUGCAGAUUCAUAAAUCUGGACCAAAGAAUAUUAAUCAAAUAUAUCAUUGUUCUGAAAUAGAUUUCUCAAUGGCUUUCACAUAAACAGCCUUUGGCAGUGUCCCUGUAAUACUAUGUAUUUUCUCUCCAUCCUUGAAGAGUAAAACAGUUGGAAUCCUGUCGAUAUUGUAAGCAGUAGCAAUCUGCGGGUAAUCAUCAGCGUCGAGCCUAUAGCAUUUUAUUCUCCCAUCAUAUUCUUGUGCUAUCUCAUCGACAGUUCGUGUGACCAUUCUGCAAGGUCCACACCAGGAGGCCCAAAACUCAAUAAGCACUGGUACAUCACUGCAGAUCACAUAUUCAUUCCAAGAGCAUGCGGUGAUUCUUUCAGCUGUAGAAACAGACAGAAUAUUGCCAUUAGACAGUUUCCAAAUAUUUCUAGACAAGCUUCAUGGAGAAAAUUUUGAAAAUACAUUUAUGUCAAACAUAAAGAAGUUGCUCUGCUCAUGUGACAGAGAUAGGAAACUUGAAAAGGUAAAGACUUGUAUAGGACAUCUGAGAGUCUUUAGUUAGCUGAAUCACAAAGAUGACCUAACUUGUUGGGUUACCUAUCACACAAAGGAGACGAAUAAAACAAUGCACGAGAUCUACUCAAUCAUACAAAGUGUAGGAACAGGAGCAGACACCAGAAAUAUGAGGAUGUAGCUCAAAAAUCUGCAGGGCAGUCAGAUAAUAUAAUAAGCACAGACGCAUGAUAGCUACUCUAUCUUUAUGGUAAAACACUUUGGGUUUUGAGUUGUAUUCACCAUCGUGUGUAGAACUAACUCGCACGUAGAUAAAAAUAACCAUUUACUCGUGAAAUUUUCAUUGCACGGGAACAGGAACAGAUAUUGGACUAUUUCAAAACAGUUCCAGCCAAGUCCAAUUUUAUUUCCAGAAUUGAUUACCAUAGCUAAUUUCAGCAUGUAUCAAGGCUCAACUUUCCACCAGGUUCAGAUAAUCACAGCUUCAACUCAAAGGAUCAACUGCACCAGCCUAAUUCUUCUGCCCCUGUCUCAUUCCAUUCCCAUGGGUUACAUUCUAGCUUCCAACAGGCUGCGUUACACCACAGCAUUUAGGCCGUACCAUUGGAGCACAAGUCCGCCAUAAGCAAGUAAGCUACAAAGCAAUGCCAAGUGGCAACUACAAUACAAACUCGAAGCAGGCUAUUGGCACUUUGGCACAUUCCAUCCGAAUAGCAGUUAGCGAGCAGUAAGAGAGCAUGGGAAACAAAGCUUUCACGCCUCAACGUCACGGGGAUUCAAUCAAAAUCAACUAGGCCCUUACCGCCGGGGGGGUAGGCGCAGAUCACCCUCACUGCCGCCGCGCGCCGCGACGGCGGUGGGCGCCGGAUCCGGGACGCGGCGGACUCCGGCCGAUGCGCCCAGCGGCGGCACGGCCACCGCCGGGCGGAGGAGGAGCCGGAGCCGACCAGCCUCCAGUGGCGGGACGCGGAGGGGGAGAGGGCCGGUAACGCCACGGCGGAGCAGAGCUGGCGCGGCGGCGCGGGGCAGGAAGCGGCGGCGGCGGCCAUGCGUGACUUCGUGAGUCGAGGUCGAGUCGUGGCGGAGAAAUGCGGUUGGUAGAAAAUUCACGAGACAGCCGCACACGGCCGAUCCUGCCUCAAGACAGCGACGGUUGACCCCACGGCGAAAACGUGCGGGCGCCCGACUGCCGAGCGUUGGGCGUUAGACCCUUAGCCUUGCGAUUUCUCUCGCGUCUCGCUAAAACAAAAUAAAUUUGACGUAAAAAUAAAUUUCGGUAAUAGUCUCUAAAUUUAUGAGAUAUUCUCGCUUAAGUGUACAAACUCUAAAUUUCAGUAAAUAUAACGUUUGGAUUGCAAUAUAUAAAGCAUAGGAAUUACUCCCUCCGUUCACAGAUACUAGGCGCAACUACUUUUUCUAUUUGUCCACGGAUACUAGGCGCAAGGGGCUGCGCAUGCGCUGGAUCGACGGCUGGAUUAAUUGCUGGAGCGUUGGACUCCUCGUACCACUCCCCUCCCGUUGAAUCUAGACGUUAUGGCGUUAACUGAGUCCAUAUAUCUACCCAGAAUAGUAGUCCUUGCAUGCAUCUCUCGCUGGCUUCUCAUCUCUUACCACUUCACUUGCAUUUGACCGACGAUGGCGAAGCGGCAGGUCGUGAGUGCCCGUUGCAUGCGCGCCCGAUGCAUGCAGCAGCAAGCGCAGCUAGAGCUCCGCCGCGCUCGAGCCUUUCGUGUCGUGCCAUCCGCGCGCGGCAGCUGGCGAAGAAAAGCUAUGAAGAUGCCGUCUCCAUGCAGCAGCAAGCCAACGGUGAAUCUGGAGGUCAUCCGCUCGCGACCAAGGCCGAUGUCGAUCAUGGCGCCGAGAUUGACUUUGACAGCAUUCGGUAUGUCCCUGACUCACUAGCCGGCGACACCUAUGUUCCAGACUCAUUUGAGGACGUCGAGGAAGAAGCUAGCAUUGCUGUAGCUGUUGCUGCCGAAAGAGAAAAAGAAAGGGAAGCAAAUGAGAAGGCCCUUGCAAUCGUCCGUCCUAUGAUGUACAAAAUCGUUUUUCCUAGUUUUCCUGAAUUGCAUGAAUGAUCUAAAUAUUUUCAUGAUGUAAUCGAUUACAUGCAGUCUAGUUUGCUGAAGAUCAAACAAAAAAGAGACAUGUUGUAAGCUAUGCAGUGAUGAAACGCACUGCAUCUACAUAAAUUUCCUUCUCUACUUGCAGCCUUAUUGGAAGUUGACCAGUUCUCUCCAAUGUUCCCUUAUUCAUAUGCGGAAUUUUGUAAUGAUGUCCUCCUUUUGCAAGCAUAAUCUCCCUCAUGCAUGCUUGUAGUGUAAGGAACACACGAUUUGCCCUGUCCACCGGGUAUUCUAGAUAGGCUUUAACCACAUUAGCCUCAAUUUCUUGGAUGGUUGACGGAGAUGACUUUUCAAACAAUGUCUGCAAGGCUGCAAAAAAGCCUAGAUCCAAAACAUUAAGAUCAGGAGAAUUGGGUGGCUGACACGUCAACCUUAUAUCCCACCCAUCUUCUUUUGCAACACGGCAAAAAUCCGGGUCAUCAACUGCAAUGUGAGUCUUCGCGUUGUCUUGUUGAAUGAAUAUUGGGCGUCCUCGUUCUUCAGCAGGCCAUUUUUCUUUGACGGCAGGCAAGACCUUGUCGACUAGAAACGUACGGAUAGUUUCUCUGUUGACCGAUGUCAUGGCCUUUACCUCCAUGGUUCCUGUAAUCAACCAUGCAUGCAAGUAGAGUAACCAAGAUAAGUAGAGUUGCUAUACUUAGUGCUCCUAUUUAAACAAAAUUAAAAUUCGUACCUCUCGGCCUAUUGGGACUUUUUCUCUUGGCCGGCUCCAAUUUAGUGAAGGGAAAAAUUCCUAUUUUACCAUCAAAUGUGCAUACACCAUUCUCAAACCUUGGGCGGGCUGUCACAGCAAGAAACAUCACCUUUUCAAUGAAAUUUUUGCUCUUCACAGCUCUACGAGGGAUCUCUUCGCCCGGCGCCAAGUAAUAAAUUUGGUUUUUCUUUGUCCUAUAAAACCAUUUCUCAUCUAUGUAAAUGACAUUGUACAAAGAUUUGAAUGUUGGGUCAUCUGGUAAGCUAAGGUUGUCAAGCAUUUGUGUGCAAAAUCGCACACGUUCCUUCAUGUUUUGUUCAGUUAAGGUGAACUUUAUGGCAUUUGUAUGGCGCCUAAACUUUCCUUCUUGUAGACGCUUAUGCAAUGUGCUCUUUGGCAUCUUAAUGGAAUUGGCUAGGCUACGGAUAGUUUGACGCUCUCUAAGUGGCACAUCUUUGAUUACAUCUGGGUUAAAUGGAUGUUUUUUACUGCCACAAUUUUUUUUUCUUAUUGGAAUCAAAAGCUGAAAUUCCACCACCAGUUUUCCCUUCACGCCAUGCACGCUGGACAACUCUCCACGGCACCCCCAUAUCACUAGCAACAGAUUUCGUCACUCCCUCCUUCAGCACGCCUGGAGUUGUUCUUUCUAAGCACAUCGCGUACAUGAUUCUUUUAAAUUCAGGAGGGUAGUACCGCCUCCUCUUGAUAUUGGCAGGAGUGCCUACACAAAGACAUUGGCAUACUCAAAUUUUGCAUGGGACUGUUCAUUCAGCUUUGCAUGCAUAAAAAUAAAAAUAAAAUAAUGAGUGGAGUACCUGAGUCAAAUGCCACAACAUCAGCUUCAUCGCCGGCGUCUGCUUGAGGCACGUAACCAGCUUCCUCAACUUGCUGCACAGAGGCCGCCCCUUGAACUUGCUGCACUGUGUGUGCACCGCUGCCUGCUUCAGGUUCGCCAUGGACUGCUUCAGGUUUGCCAUGGACUGCUUCUGCUUCAGCUGUGUUGCCGUCACCUUCACCUUGGCCAUCUUCAUCUUGGUCGUUGUUGUCUUCGCCGUCAGCUGUAUCAUUGCCAAUAAGUACACCGCUCGUACAAUGAAAGAAUACAAAAAAAAAGAGAAAAGUCUCUGUGAUUACCUUCGUUGCCAUCGUCCCAAACAUAGUCGUAGUUCAACUCAUGUACUUCUCCCUCAAAUUCCCCAAUCUCAUCCCAGUUGAUAGGUUCAUUCAAAUCUAAACCAGGCAUGGUGUUCAAACAAAGAAGGAAGAUUAGAGAAAGGAAUGUUGUCAGCCGCACGCGUGCUUGCAUUGCCUAUUUAUAGGAACACAAACGAGCCAUUAGUGGCGCCACUUGCAUGCCGAAAAACCAAACUAGUUAGGCGCCAACAGCUGAAAAGAUAGCGCGGGCGUAGAUGAAUCUGAAAAAUUAGCGGAUGUAGAUGAAAGCCGAAAAAAUAGCGCGGGUGCGAUUUGGAUCUGCAUGCAGGUGUGAAAAUUGGAAGGAAAAAACGCGCGUGGAAACGGGAAGGAACGCGGGCUCUCGGAAAAACUCGCGCGAGCGGCUGCAUGGUGCAUGCAUGCACUGGAGACGGAGAAUGCGGAGCGUGCUCGAUCGGUUAACGGCGCGUUACGGAGAAUGCGGAGCGUGAAGUUAUUACGGGGAGGAACCGAACGUUUUUUCUGGCAACGAGCCGUGAUUAAUGUCUUCCUUGGUCUUUGCAAUUUUUGAAUCGCGCCUAGUAUCCGUGGACGGAGGGAGUAGAAAAGAUAGAGGCAUACCAAAGUUUUCAAGCCUCAUGUAAGUUUGCCUUCGUUUCAUAAGAAUUUUGUUGGAUUUUAGAAUGAUCGACCCUUUGUUCUAAAGGAUCACAAAGAAAGGAAACAUUUGCAUAUGAAUCCUGUAGGUGCAAAUUUAGGGACAAUAUACGAACGCACUCGAACGUGCAGCGUGCAAGGAGCUCCUUGCAGCACCUCCACAAAGGUCGGUCAGACCGGUUUUGCGGCGAGUCCAGCGAAGAAGCCAACGAACGCUCGCCCGGGAGGGAUCCUGUUAGCGUAGGCGCACGCAGGGUUGUUCUAGGGUCGGCAGGCCACCUAGAACAUUCUCAAUCGAUGUAGAGACGAAAGAGGAACAACAAGUAGUAGAUUGGAAAAGCUAGGGCAAAGGGAAAAGAUAAAAGAUGUAUUUUUGAUCGAUUGGAUGCCCUCAAUCGACCAUGGCACUUUAUAUUUAUAGGGAGGGGAGGUCUUGCCCCUAAUGGAGUCAAAACCUUUACAAAUCUCGUGCAAAAAAAUACAACUCCUACUCGGACUCUACAGAUCCAAACCGGUCUGACCUGUCUCCUCGGGUGCAGAUCUUACCGAGGUCAUAACUCUCUCAUCCGAACUCCAAAUCGGACAUUCUAUAUAUGAAUUUUGAUCUACUCAAUGAGAGCUACAUAAUAGUGAAGUCCAAUUUAAUUUGGAGGAUUUUGACCAAACUGGUCUGACUGGUUGGGAGACCGGUCUAGACAGGUCUGACCAGAUCUGCCAAUUUUGGUCGUCAACACAUGCCUCCCUAUUUUUUGCAAAGUAUGAGUGCCAAAAAACACUCUCCUGGACCAAAAUUACCUAAGGACGAUUAUGAAUAAUGCAUCAGCCAUAUAUUUUUUCCUCUAAGGGUGAUACCAUCUUAUCGGCCAUAAGACUUGCUUUUAAUUCAAGAAACAACUUGUUUUGGCCUCCAUACUUGCUUAGUAGCUGCUAACCUCGCUAGCAUCACCUCUGCAUGUUGCUCCACUGAUCGUUGCUUCCGUAGUCGUUGUAAUCUUCUCUUUUGAGUACUCAGCUGUGGGAAUUUUGAAUUUUUCUUGAUGUCUUUCUCACCUACUUUAUGGUCAACAGAUGGACUUCUGUCCAGAUCAUUGCUA
RNAcentral lists this long non-coding RNA (28472 nucleotides) under Setaria italica (foxtail millet). RNAcentral's name for it is "long non-coding RNA (SITA_LNC005246)". The record is from RNAcentral. Lineage: Eukaryota; Viridiplantae; Streptophyta; Magnoliopsida; Poales; Poaceae.